GAUGAAGAACGUAGCGAAAUGCGAUAAGUAAUGUGAAUUGCAGAAUUCAGUGAAUCAUCGAAUCUUUGAACGCACAUUGCGCCCGCCAGUAUUCUGGCGGGCAUGCCUGUUCGAGCGUCAUUACAACCCUCAGGCCCCCGGGCCUGGCGUUGGGGAUCGGCGGAAGCCCCCUGCGGGCACAACGCCGUCCCCCAAAUACAGUGGCGGUCCCGCCGCAGCUUCCAUUGCGUAGUAGCUAACACCUCGCAACUGGAGAGCGGCGCGGCCACGCCGUAAAACACCCAACUUCUGAAUGUUGACCUCGAAUCAGGUAGGAAUACCCGCUGAACUUAAGCAUAUCAACAAGCGGAGGA
This 353-nucleotide unclassified non-coding RNA is filed under the name soil metagenome. Its description in RNAcentral is "partial contains 5.8S ribosomal RNA, internal transcribed spacer 2, and large subunit ribosomal RNA". The stretch from base 1 to 120 matches the Rfam family "5.8S ribosomal RNA", at positions 35 to 154 of the family's 154-position model. The record is from RNAcentral.